AUACAUCGAAAAUCCGCUAGAGGUCGGUCCCAAAAGGGGGUUCUGAGUGCCUGACAACUGUGAGCUGAUAACGGGCUGCGCCCGAGUGGAAUUGGACGUCUUGGCCAUGAUCUGACACGCGCAUCUCU
Molecule: non-coding RNA, 128 nt
Organism: Pimephales promelas (fathead minnow)
Lineage: Eukaryota; Metazoa; Chordata; Actinopteri; Cypriniformes; Leuciscidae
Source: RefSeq, a predicted model, not a curated record